RNA transcript from Triticum aestivum (bread wheat), 2162 nucleotides. It is a transcript of the gene named external alternative NAD(P)H-ubiquinone oxidoreductase B1, mitochondrial, with no coding region annotated. The transcript has 7 exons. Lineage: Eukaryota; Viridiplantae; Streptophyta; Magnoliopsida; Poales; Poaceae. The record is from RefSeq and is a predicted model, not a curated record.
GUAUCCUCGUCUCAUCCCUGGCUGCACCUCUUCUGAUGCCAUGGCACCAGUGGUGGCUCCUCGAUGGAGCACCUCCUUCCAUGACGGCACCACCAGCGGCUCUUGCUCGACGCCACGAUACACAACAUCGAGGCCACCCCUGAUGCUCAGGCUGAUGCUUCUUCGCUUGAUGCCGAAGAAAAGGAUGAUCAGAUUCAGACGCCCAAGAACAACAGCUACUAUGAAUAUUAUGAUUGAGCGACUGCUUGGCGAUGUCAUCGUCAGAGGCUCAGGCCUCCUCCCUGGACAAGGCACUCGUGCUAGGCGGCGGCGAUCUGUGCGCCGGUUCAAGAGGUGGUAAGACGGUCGCAAGAAUGCCAAGCUCUUCAGCUGUGGCAUCAUGCAAUAAUGGAAUUGAGCAUUCUGGCCAAAACAUAAAGGACAACGAAUAUGCAAGGUUGGUGACACCAGCUGAACAUGCAACAGCUGACAAGAAAUUUUGCCUGAGCAACCAAAGUUAAGACACUUCAUUUGGUGAAUGAAAGAUUUGCUUGGAUGCUUCCAUCUUAUAUUAGCAUCUUAUAUCUUCGUGAAAUUUGGAGCCCCUUUGCCUUUGAAAAUGGUAGCGGUACUCUCUCUGCUGUGGCUGCGUGUUCGACCGGCCAGCCAAGGAUCUCCAACAAGCAUGUGCGCCUACUCUCCUUGCCCUUAAUUCCUGCCACAACAGCAGCUCCUGUGUAGUGUGAGCCAGAGAACUACUACACUAAUCAUGUUCCUGGCCUAGCAUGUGACAGUGGUGCCGCGAGGAUUUGCUGCCGUGGGAGGAGGGGCCCGACCCAGAUGGCGGCCACCAGUAGGUCACACACUUAUUCAGCUCGCCGUCUGGUUACUCUGAUGGCUUCUCUAAGGUAUCUUCUCGUGCAGCUUCACUCUUGCUUGUGUGUCUCGCGUGAAAAAUUAAGCUACCUAGCACUUGCUCUACUCUGCUUUAGCAGGCGCUCGCAAAGGAGGCCAAGGGAUACAUGAUACUGGUAAUUUACUAAUGAUCCAUCUUAGUGGAAUGCUUUUGUUGUAGAUAUUUUCAUUGGUUGUCCUUUCAUUUUAUUUAUAUUCAUGGCUGGAUGGUGCCUUCCACUAUGCUUCUUCACUGAAAAGGUGUUUCGCAUAUGUGUACUUGCUUGAGAAUGGAAUAAUCUCAGAAUUCCGUUGAAAACAAAACUUAGUUAUUUCAGCAUGCAUAGUGUUUGGCUAUAGAGAUUGAGUGCUUCACAUAUCCGAUGCCAUCUCAGAAUAAUCCCAGACCUGUUUAAAUAACUUAGUGUUUGGCUAAGGAGUCCACAUUGAACGCCACAUAUCCGAUGCCAACACACCGAGGUGAGCUUCAGCAAACUCUCUCUCUCUCUCUCUCUCUCUCUCCAAUCAGACAUGUGAAUAUUUACCAGUGCUUCAAGAUCGAUCUGACGAAAGCCGUCCACUGCCGCUCUGCUGUUUCUCUCUCUCUCUCUCUCUCUCUCUCUCUCUCUCUCCUGUGAAUAUUUACCAGAGUGCUUCAAGAUCGAUCCGACGAAAGCCGUCCACUGCCGCUCUGCUAUUGGGACUAAUUUGGACGGGAAUGGUGAUUUCAUGGUUGAUUAUGAUUACUUGGUUGUUGCUCUUGGAGUUACUGUGAAUACAUUCAACACUCCUGGUGUGAUGGGGCAUUGCCACUUUCUGAAGGUAAUGGAGGAUGCCCAAAAGAUUCGGAAGAGCGUGAUAGACUACUUUGAAAAGGCGUCACCUCCUAACCUCAGUGAAGAGGAGAGAAGGAAGAUCCUUCACUUUGUGAUUAUCGGUGGUGGACCUACUGGGGUUGAAUUUGCGGUGGAGUUGCAUGAUUUUCUUGUCGAAGAUCUGGUGAAGCUAUAUCCUGCAAUUGAAGAAUUUGUGAAGAUAACAAUUCUGCAAUCAGGAGAACAUACAAUGAGGGUUGAACGUUCCUGCAGUAAUAACCUUAGUUUUGGGCAAGAUGAUCAAGGAGUAGCGAAACUUUAGCAGUCAUCUUUGGCUUCACCAUCUUCCUCCCCUGAUCAUGCAUCUAUUUUAGAUCAUAUAAUUAUGCUAUAUCAUAUAUAUUGUUUAGUUCAGACUUGUGCAUGUGCGUCCAUUGGCAUUGAUUUAUACAGAGAUAUUGCAUGAUUUGUACA